CUGUCACUUUGACUCAGUUCCCUUCUGGGUUAACUAAAACAUAUAAUAGGAAGGAGGAAAAAAAUUUGAAAGGAAAUCAAAUGAAAUCCCCAAGCCAAGCUGAAACUACUGGUCUUCUGAAACUACUGCAGUCUUGUAGUAAUAUAAGAUAACAAAAAAACAUAUGUAUUAGGAUGAAGUAACGAAAUGAGCCUUUUCUUCUGUUGUCUU
This 210-nucleotide long non-coding RNA is filed under the name Gossypium barbadense (sea-island cotton). RNAcentral's name for it is "long non-coding RNA (GBAR_LNC006534)". The record is from RNAcentral. Lineage: Eukaryota; Viridiplantae; Streptophyta; Magnoliopsida; Malvales; Malvaceae.